This 107-nucleotide small RNA is filed under the name Marmota monax (woodchuck). Lineage: Eukaryota; Metazoa; Chordata; Mammalia; Rodentia; Sciuridae. The record is from RNAcentral.
GCCGGUUGUGGUGGCGUGUGCCUGUAAUCCCAGCAACUCAGGAGGCUGAGGCAGGAGGAUCGCAAGUUUGAGGCCAUUCUCAGCAAUUUAGUGAGAACUUGUCUCUA